UCAUUGUAGCAAUACAAGGCGGACGGCUCAGUAACACGUAGUCAACCUAACUCGUGGACGUGGAUAACCUCGGGAAACUGAGAAUAAACCACGAUAGAUCAUAGUGCCUGGAAUGGCUUAUGGUCCAAACAGUUUACUGCCAUGGGAUGGGACUGCGGCCUAUCAGCUUGUUGGUGAGGUAAUGGCCCACCAAGGCGAUUACAGGUACGGGCUCUGAGAGGAGUAGCCCGGAGAUGGGUACUGAGACACGGACCCAGGCCCUAUGGGGCGCAGCAGGCGAGAAACCUUAGCAAUGUGCGAAAGCACGACUGGGUCAGUCCGAGUGAUUCCUGAUAAAGGAGUCUUUUACCUGUCCUAAAAGCACAGGUGAAUAAGGGGUGGGCAAGUCUGGUGUCAGCCGCCGCGGUAAUACCAGCACCUCGAGUGGUCAGGACGUUUAUUGGGCCUAAAGCAUCCGUAGCCGGCUCUGCAAGUCUUCGGUUAAAUCCACCUGCUCAACAGAUGGGCCGCUGGAGAUACUACAGAGCUAGGGAGUGGGAGAGGCAGACGGUAUUCAGUGGGUAGGGGUAAAAUCCUCUGAUCCAUUGAGGACCACCAGUGGCGAAGGCGGUCUGCCAGAACACGUCCGACGGUGAGGGAUGAAAGCUGGGGGAGCAAACCGGAUUAGAUACCCGGGUAGUCCCAGCUGUAAACGAUGCAAACUCGGUGAUGCAUUGGCUUAUGGCCAAUGCAGUGCCGCAGGGAAGCCGUUAAGUUUGCCGCCUGGGAAGUACGUACGCAAGUAUGAAACUUAAAGGAAUUGGCGGGGGAGCACCACAAGGGGUGAAGCCUGCGGUUCAAUUGGAUCAACGCC
This 853-nucleotide ribosomal RNA is filed under the name uncultured archaeon. RNAcentral's name for it is "bacterial SSU rRNA". It matches the Rfam family "Archaeal small subunit ribosomal RNA", at positions 58 to 919 of the family's 1478-position model. The record is from RNAcentral.